AUGUGAAGCUUUUCUCCCCAACAAUGGACGAUAGAAUCUGACUUUGUUUUUAAAUGGAAGCUGAGUCUCACGUAAACAUCUGACUCCAGGAACUGAGGAUUUUAAAAAGCACCAAAUAUCACAAAACAAUUAAAUUAUGAGAGCAGCCAACAUUGUAUCAAUUACAAAUCUGAAAAACAGCAGUGCCUCCACCUUAAUAUUCAGGUUUGAAUCUCAAGGCAAAAACUAUCCAGGAUUUGAAUUUCCAGGUAAAAGCUAUCCAGGAAGAAGCAGUCUGUGUGAAGAUGCAAGUGAGUGAGAGAGCUGUGUCAAAAGUUGAAAACAAACCUAACAAAUUCAGCACAGCUUGCAAGGUUGGAGUGUAAAGCUUUUCAUUGAAGACACAAAAUGAGGAAGUAAAAGCAAAAAUGCAUUCUCAUGCUCCCCUGCCCGAUCCUUCCAUCAGCACAACAGCUUUAGCAAAAAAUAAUAUUUGUCAAAUAUAAUCAGCAGCAUCAAGACAUAUUAAAU
Molecule: long non-coding RNA, 510 nt
Organism: Dermochelys coriacea (leatherback sea turtle)
Lineage: Eukaryota; Metazoa; Chordata; Testudines; Dermochelyidae
Exons: 2
Source: RefSeq, a predicted model, not a curated record